AGCGGCGGACGGGUGAGUAACGCGUGGGUAACCUGCCCUGUACACACGGAUAACAUACCGAAAGGUAUGCUAAUACGAGAUAAUAUACUUUUAUCGCAUGGUAGAAGUAUCAAAGCUUUUGCGGUACAGGAUGGACCCGCGUCUGAUUAGCUAGUUGGUGAGGUAACGGCUCACCAAGGCGACGAUCAGUAGCCGACCUGAGAGGGUGAUCGGCCACAUUGGAACUGAGACACGGUCCAAACUCCUACGGGAGGCAGCAGUGGGGAAUAUUGCACAAUGGGCGAAAGCCUGAUGCAGCAACGCCGCGUGAGCGAUGAAGGCCUUCGGGUCGUAAAGCUCUGUCCUCAAGGAAGAUAAUGACGGUACUUGAGGAGGAAGCCCCGGCUAACUACGUGCCAGCAGCCGCGGUAAUACGUAGGGGGCUAGCGUUAUCCGGAAUUACUGGGCGUAAAGGGUGCGUAGGUGGUUUCUUAAGUCAGAGGUGAAAGGCUACGGCUCAACCGUAGUAAGCCUUUGAAACUGGGAAACUUGAGUGCAGGAGAGGAGAGUGGAAUUCCUAGUGUAGCGGUGAAAUGCGUAGAUAUUAGGAGGAACACCAGUUGCGAAGGCGGCUCUCUGGACUGUAACUGACACUGAGGCACGAAAGCGUGGGGAGCAAACAGGAUUAGAUACCCUGGUAGUCCACGCCGUAAACGAUGAGUACUAGGUGU
This 710-nucleotide ribosomal RNA is filed under the name uncultured bacterium. Its description in RNAcentral is "bacterial SSU rRNA". It matches the Rfam family "Bacterial small subunit ribosomal RNA", at positions 94 to 823 of the family's 1533-position model. The record is from RNAcentral.